UAAAAUAAUUAAGGGCACACAAAGGAUGCCUAGGUAGUAAGAGCCGAUGAAGGACGUGGUAAGCUGCGAUAAGCCUAGAUAAGUUGCAAUCGAACGUAAGAGUCUAGGAUUUCCGAAUGGAGCAAUCUAUUAAGAUGGAGUCUUAAUACGAAAGAGGGAACCGCGUGAACUGAAACAUCUAAGUAACGCGAGGAAAAGAAAGUAAAAACGAUACCCAAAGUAGCGGCGAGCGAAAUGGGUCAAGCCUAAACCUUAAAUAUGUCAAGGAUACAGCCGUUGUAUUUAAGGGGUUGUGGGACAGAGUGAUGAAGAACUGUAAGAUAUUCAAUAUAGUGUAUUGAUGAAUUAGAAUUGUCUGGAAAGGUGAACCGCAGAAGGUGAAAGUCCUGUAUAAGUAAAUCCUUACACAUAUAACUUUGCUCCCAAGUAACAUGGAACACGAGGAAUUCUGUGUGAAUCUGUGAGGACCAUAUCUCAUAAGGCUAAAUACUCUUACUAACCGAUAGCGCAUAGUACCGUGAGGGAAAGGUGAAAAGAACCCCUGGAGGGGAGUGAAAUAGAACCUGAAAUUGUGUGCUUACAAGCGGUCAGAGCCAGUAAUGGUGAUGGCGUGCCUUUUGGAGAAUGAUCCUGCGAGUUACGUUAAACGGCGAGGUUAAGUAUAACGGAGCCGAAGGGAAACCAAGUCUUAAUAGGGCGAUUUAGUCGUUUGGCGUAGACGCGAAACCUGGUGAUCUAAACCUGUCCAGGAUGAAGCUGUGGUAAGACACAGUGGAGGUCCUAACCCACCGCCGUUGAAAAGUUGGGGGAUGAGGUAGGUUUAGGGGUGAAAAGCCAAUCGAACCAGGAGAUAGCUCGUUCUCUCCGAAAUGCAUCUAGGUGCAGCCUUGAGUGUUCAAUUAUGGGGGUAGAGCACUGAAUGAUCUAGGGGGCAUAUUGCUUACUGAAAUCAAUCAAACUCCGAAUACCAUAAUUUAUAGCUCAGGAGUGAGACUAUGGGAGUUAACUUCCAUUGUCAAAAGGGAAACAACCCAGACCACCAGCUAAGGUCCCUAAUUAUAACUAAGUGGGAAAGGAGGUGGAGAUUCACAAACAACUAGGAGGUUGGCUUAGAAGCAGCCAUACCUUUAAAGAGUGCGUAAUAGCUCACUAGUCGAGAGUCUCUGCGCCGACAAUGUAACGGGGCUAAGUUAUAAACCGAAGCUGUGGAAUCCGUAAGGAUUGGUAGGAGAGCGUUCUGUAGGCCGUUGAAGGAGAAGGGUAACCGACUCUGGAGGUAUCAGAAGUGAGAAUGCAGGAAUAAGUAGCGAGAAAGGGGGCGAGAAUCCCCCUCGCCGGAAGACCAAGGUUUUCAGGGUAAAGCUUGUCUUCCCUGAGUAAGCCGGGACCUAAGCCCAGGCUAUAAUGCGUAGGCGAAUGGAAAACAGAUUAAUAUUUCUGUGCCAGUCAUUUAUUGUGAUGGAGGGACGCAGAAGGGUAUGCGCGCGGACGAUCGGUUGUGUCCGUAGAAGUAUGUAGGGUGACUUAGUAGGUAAAUCCAUUAAGUUAUAUCUGAGGUAUGAUAUACAGUCGUAAGAUGAAUGCGCAAAUCCCACGCUGCCAAGAAAAGCUUCUAACGUUAAUAUUUGACUGCCCGUACUGCAAACCGACACAGGUGGUCAGGAUGAGAAAUCUAAGGCGGACAGGCUAACUCUCGUUAAGGAACUCUGCAAAAUAACCUCGUAACUUCGGGAGAAGAGGAGCCCUUGAGGGUCAGUAUCCACGCGAUACAAAGCGCUCGAGGGUCGCAGUGAAGAGGCUCAAGCAACUGUUUAACAAAAACACAGGUCUAUGCUAAGCUGGAAGGCGAUGUAUAUGGGCUGACACCUGCCCAGUGCUGGAAGGUUAAGAGGAGGAGUGAGAGCUCCGAAUUGAAGCCCCAGUGAACGGCGGCCGUAACUAUAACGGUCCUAAGGUAGCGAAAUUCCUUGUCGGGUAAG
RNAcentral lists this ribosomal RNA (1979 nucleotides) under human metagenome. RNAcentral's name for it is "bacterial LSU rRNA". It matches the Rfam family "Bacterial large subunit ribosomal RNA", at positions 1 to 1980 of the family's 2925-position model. The record is from RNAcentral.